GUGGGGAAUAUUGGACAAUGGGGGGAACCCUGAUCCAGCCAUGCCGCGUGUGUGAAGAAGGCCUUUUGGUUGUAAAGCACUUUAAGCGAGGAGGAGGCUACCGAGAUUAAUACUCUUGGAUAGUGGACGUUACUCGCAGAAUAAGCACCGGCUAACUCUGUGCCAGCAGCCGCGGUAAUACAGAGGGUGCAAGCGUUAAUCGGAUUUACUGGGCGUAAAGCGCGCGUAGGUGGCCAAUUAAGUCAAAUGUGAAAUCCCCGAGCUUAACUUGGGAAUUGCAUUCGAUACUGGUUGGCUAGAGUAUGGGAGAGGAUGGUAGAAUUCCAGGUGUAGCUGUGAAAUGCGUAGAGAUCUGGAGGAAUACCGAUGGCGAAGGCAGCCAUCUGGCCUAAUACUGACACUGAGGUGCGAAAGCAUGGGGAGCAAACAGGAUUAGAUACCCGUGUAGUCC
This 451-nucleotide ribosomal RNA is filed under the name uncultured bacterium. Its description in RNAcentral is "partial 16S ribosomal RNA". It matches the Rfam family "Bacterial small subunit ribosomal RNA", at positions 354 to 796 of the family's 1533-position model. The record is from RNAcentral.